This 1822-nucleotide long non-coding RNA is filed under the name Arabidopsis thaliana (thale cress). RNAcentral describes it as "long non-coding RNA (ATHA_LNC000633)". Lineage: Eukaryota; Viridiplantae; Streptophyta; Magnoliopsida; Brassicales; Brassicaceae. The record is from RNAcentral.
CUUAGUAACCACAUAGUUCAAUGUUUUUCUACAUUGUUUAACUGAUUACAUGCUAUUGGUCCUAUAUUGUAACUGUUUUACAAAAAAAAGAAAUUAUUAAAUUAUUUUACAGUAUUAAUAAGAGAAAACCAUUAUAACAAUAUGAACACAAACUAUCAUAAUACAUGUCGUGGUCGAAUAUUUUCAUUGUGUGUGAGGGUGGAUUCGAAUCAAAACAUGGCAUCACCUAUAUCGACCCUAUAGAUGUUUCCAUGCUCUUUGAAACUAUGAUCAUGCCGUUGGCCCUACCCUAUUAUCACCACCUACUCUACUAUAUGUAUGUGGGGAAAUUAUCUGCACAUCCACCGAUAUUCAUCAUAAGUGGAAAAUUACGAUAAUUGAAUAUGACGUCUGUAAUUAUUUUACUGAUCGAAGCUUUUUUUGACAAUAGAAUUUAUACUAAUGCAGAAAUCUGCAACUAUUUUUAGUAACCAGAAUAAAAAGUUGCGCCAUUGUGUGUGUGGGUCACUGUACAUAUCUAAACAUUUUUUUUUAUCUGAUUUGUUUCUUUAUUCUACUAUGUAUAAAAUUUUGUAUACGCACAUGCAUAAUACUUUUUUUUUCUUUUUCUUUUUUGGGUAUGAAACAUGCAUAAUAUACUUUCUACCAAACGAUUGUUGGUCAUUCUCUCAAACUCCAUUUGCCAAAUUCUUCACGGCAUUGUGUUCUGAAGUCGGCUACGUACACAAAGAUCAAUAUGCAGAACCAAGUUGUGGUAGCGGCAAAUUGUCCUGUGUGCAUCUACACCAAAGAUCCAUUUAAGUUAGACUCAAUUUUUUUUUAUCUUUCUAGGAUCCAUUUACAUUCAGAUUGGGUCAUGUCUACUGAGGUUACAUUUUUUGUAGAAUUUUCUUCUAACUUACAAAUCAUCGUCACAAAUUUAGGCGUUGUCAAUAUAUGUAUGUGUACAAUGUAUAUAUAUAUAUAUAUUAUAAAAAAAUAUUCGAUUAGUAGCCACCACACGGGUUAAUUUGGACUUAAUUAAAAAUAAGUUACUCUAUAAAGUGUCAUAAUAGUUUAAAUCCAGACUCUAAACUCCUGAUUCGCCCAAAUCUAGAAGUGGCAAAGCAAAAGUUUGAACAAAAUUCUAAGUAAUUAUUAUAGUGGGAAGAGAAAGUGACUCCUUUUUGAAAUGAUUUGCAUUUGAUGCAAAUGAUCGGAAGAAAGGUCGUAGUUAUAUAUCUUAUCCAGUAAUUAUGGUUUCCUCGUGUAAUGCUCUAGUUUAAUUUUUUAAUUGGGAAACAAUUGUGAGCUGAGCUUGAAUAACGCCAGUGCAAACCCUUCCUUUUUUUUAACGUCCGGUGCAAACAUUGACCCUAUAUUAAGUUAUUAACCAAGUAGUGGGAGAUCGCAGUCCCACUUGGCCCAUGAACCAGUGUGUAAAUCAAAUAUACCCUUUUACUGCAAAAGAAGAGGUUUUCCUAUAAAUUUUGUUUUAUUCGAAACCCUAAACGCUGAAUACUAUUUUUCUUAUAAUUAAUUUUAUUUAAGACUUUAAAAAUAAUAAUUGAAUUUCUGGUUUUAUUCUCUCUGAUUAGGAAUAAUUGGUAUGUUAUUUUAGUUUGUCUACCAAAAAAGUUUGGAACAUAUGAUAUUUCUAAACAGCAGGACAAAAAAUAAAUACAUAGAGAACCAUAUUUGAAAGAGACAACACAUGAGUAGACACAUGAGUUGAGGUUGAUGUUGAUAAUAUCUACACUAACCUUAUACUGUAAUGUCAAGAGCGUGUUAUUUGUUUUCGGUAAUAGUUUGAGAUUGUUUUGGGGAAUGUACAAGAAAUUUU